UACGUAGGGUGCAAGCGUUGUCCGGAAUUAUUGGGCGUAAAGAGCUCGUAGGCGGUCUGUCGCGUCUGCUGUGAAAACUCAGGGCUUAACCCUGAGCUUGCAGUGGGUACGGGCAGACUAGAGUGCGGUAGGGGAGACUGGAAUUCCUGGUGUAGCGGUGAAAUGCGCAGAUAUCAGGAGGAACACCGGUGGCGAAGGCGGCCAGCUGGGUCGUCCCUGACGCUGAGGCGCGAAGGCGUGGGGAGCGAACGGG
RNAcentral lists this ribosomal RNA (253 nucleotides) under uncultured bacterium. RNAcentral describes it as "partial 16S ribosomal RNA". It matches the Rfam family "Bacterial small subunit ribosomal RNA", at positions 524 to 776 of the family's 1533-position model. The record is from RNAcentral.